CCCUGGGUGGUGCAAAUGGUUAACAUGCUUGGCUGUUAACCAAAAGAUUGGAGGUUCAAGUCCACCCAAAGGUG
Molecule: transfer RNA, 74 nt
Organism: Loxodonta africana (African savanna elephant)
Lineage: Eukaryota; Metazoa; Chordata; Mammalia; Proboscidea; Elephantidae
Rfam family: tRNA
About the family: Transfer RNA (tRNA) molecules are approximately 80 nucleotides in length. Their secondary structure includes four short double-helical elements and three loops (D, anti-codon, and T loops). Further hydrogen bonds mediate the characteristic L-shaped molecular structure. tRNAs have two regions of fundamental functional importance: the anti-codon, which is responsible for specific mRNA codon recognition, and the 3' end, to which the tRNAs corresponding amino acid is attached (by aminoacyl-tRNA synthetases). tRNAs cope with the degeneracy of the genetic code in two manners: having more than one tRNA (with a specific anti-codon) for a particular amino acid; and 'wobble' base-pairing, i.e. permitting non-standard base-pairing at the 3rd anti-codon position.
Source: Rfam